Molecule: ribosomal RNA, 422 nt
Filed under: uncultured cyanobacterium
Lineage: Bacteria; Bacillati; Cyanobacteriota
Description: bacterial SSU rRNA
Rfam family: Bacterial small subunit ribosomal RNA
Source: RNAcentral
GGGGAAUCUUCCGCAAUGGGCGAAAGCCUGACGCAGCAACGCCGCGUGCGGGAAGAAGGCUUUCGGGCUGUAAACCGCUUUCAGCAGGAACGAAAAUGACGGUACUUGAGGAAUAAGCCACGGCUAAUUCCGUGCCAGCAGCCGCGGUAAUACAGGAGUGGCAAGCGUUAUCCGGAAUUAUUGGGCGUAAAGCGUCCGCAGGCGGUCUUGUAAGUCUGUCGUUAAAGCGUGGAGCUUAACUCCAUUUAAGCGAUGGAAACUGCGGGACUAGAGUGUGGUAGGGGCAGAGGGAAUUCCCGGUGUAGCGGUGAAAUGCGUAGAUAUCGGGAAGAACACCAGUGGCGAAGGCGCUCUGCUGGGCCAUAACUGACGCUCAUGGACGAAAGCCAGGGGAGCGAAAGGGAUUAGAUACCCCUGUAGUC